CGUUGGGCGGGCGUGCUAUACAUGCAAGUAGAACGCUGAAGAGAGGAGCUUGCUCUUCUUGGAUGAGUUGCGAACGGGUGAGUAACGCGUAGGUAACCUGCCUUGUAGCGGGGGAUAACUAUUGGAAACGAUAGCUAAUACCGCAUAACAAUGGAUGACACAUGUCAUUUAUUUGAAAGGGGCAAUUGCUCCACUACAAGAUGGACCUGCGUUGUAUUAGCUAGUAGGUGAGGUAAUGGCUCACCUAGGCGACGAUACAUAGCCGACCUGAGAGGGUGAUCGGCCACACUGGGACUGAGACACGGCCCAGACUCCUACGGGAGGCAGCAGUAGGGAAUCUUCGGCAAUGGGGGCAACCCUGACCGAGCAACGCCGCGUGAGUGAAGAAGGUUUUCGGAUCGUAAAGCUCUGUUGUAAGUCAAGAACGGGUGUGAGAGUGGAAAGUUCACACUGUGACGGUAGCUUACCAGAAAGGGACGGCUAACUACGUGCCAGCAGCCGCGGUAAUACGUAGGUCCCGAGCGUUGUCCGGAUUUAUUGGGCGUAAAGCGAGCGCAGGCGGUUUGAUAAGUCUGAAGUUAAAGGCUGUGGCUCAACCAUAGUUCGCUUUGGAAACUGUCAAACUUGAGUGCAGAAGGGGAGAGUGGAAUUCCAUGUGUAGCGGUGAAAUGCGUAGAUAUAUGGAGGAACACCGGUGGCGAAAGCGGCUCUCUGGUCUGUAACUGACGCUGAGGCUCGAAAGCGUGGGGAGCGAACAGGAUUAGAUACCCUGGUAGUCCACGCCGUAAACGAUGAGUGCUAGGUGUUGGAUCCUUUCCGGGAUUCAGUGCCGCAGCUAACGCAUUAAGCACUCCGCCUGGGGAGUACGACCGCAAGGUUGAAACUCAAAGGAAUUGACGGGGGCCCGCACAAGCGGUGGAGCAUGUGGUUUAAUUCGAAGCAACGCGAAGAACCUUACCAGGUCUUGACAUCCCGAUGCUAUUUCUAGAGAUAGAAAGUUACUUCGGUACAUCGGUGACAGGUGGUGCAUGGUUGUCGUCAGCUCGUGUCGUGAGAUGUUGGGUUAAGUCCCGCAACGAGCGCAACCCCUAUUGUUAGUUGCCAUCAUUCAGUUGGGCACUCUAGCGAGACUGCCGGUAAUAAACCGGAGGAAGGUGGGGAUGACGUCAAAUCAUCAUGCCCCUUAUGACCUGGGCUACACACGUGCUACAAUGGUUGGUACAACGAGUUGCGAGUCGGUGACGGCGAGCUAAUCUCUUAAAGCCAAUCUCAGUUCGGAUUGUAGGCUGCAACUCGCCUACAUGAAGUCGGAAUCGCUAGUAAUCGCGGAUCAGCACGCCGCGGUGAAUACGUUCCCGGGCCUUGUACACACCGCCCGUCACACCACGAGAGUUUGUAACACCCGAAGUCGGUGAGGUAACCUUUUGGAGCCAGCCGCCUAAGGUGACCAGAGUGC
This 1456-nucleotide ribosomal RNA is filed under the name Streptococcus thermophilus. RNAcentral describes it as "bacterial SSU rRNA". It matches the Rfam family "Bacterial small subunit ribosomal RNA". The record is from RNAcentral. Lineage: Bacteria; Bacillati; Bacillota; Bacilli; Lactobacillales; Streptococcaceae.